RNAcentral lists this transfer RNA (92 nucleotides) under Salmo salar (Atlantic salmon). It matches the Rfam family "tRNA". Rfam says of the family: Transfer RNA (tRNA) molecules are approximately 80 nucleotides in length. Their secondary structure includes four short double-helical elements and three loops (D, anti-codon, and T loops). Lineage: Eukaryota; Metazoa; Chordata; Actinopteri; Salmoniformes; Salmonidae. The record is from Rfam by way of RNAcentral.
CUCCCUGUGGCUCUGUUGGUAGAGCAUGGUGUUUGUAAUGCCAGCAUGGUGUGUGCAACGCCAGGGUUGUGGGUUCGAUUCCCACAGGGGGC